Molecule: long non-coding RNA, 1767 nt
Organism: Dioscorea cayenensis subsp. rotundata (Guinea yam)
Lineage: Eukaryota; Viridiplantae; Streptophyta; Magnoliopsida; Dioscoreales; Dioscoreaceae
Exons: 2
Source: RefSeq, a predicted model, not a curated record
AAAAAAUAAACAAUAAUUGAAACUCACACAAUUUUUUUUUUUGAAUAAUAGGCAACAAGCUGUAAUGUCCUCCAGCUUGGUUCUUUGGCCAAGUUUGACUAGAGAGCAUCCUGAUUUUUUUCAGGAAGUGGAGCCCACUCUCUGCCAUUUUACCCAUGACCCCUGUCAUGUCACCAGUGAAUUCCGGAUCUGGUAGGCUGUUCUUCUUUGAGUUGGAGCUGUUUUUAGAGAGCUUGGGCUGAAGGCAUCUUCUUCAAUCUUGAAAGCUCUUUCUCCUUGGAAGAAGUCUAAAGCUUGGACUUUGGAGGAAGGUCCCCUUCGCCGGCAAGCUUAGAGGUAGGUGUGUUGCUCUUGUGUUGGGAGUUUUGAUCUUGUGAGGUUGUUGGUGCUUUGAUCUUGAUUGCAUGCUUCUUCUCCCUUGUUUGAGGUGGUUUUGAUAUUCUUGUGUCUUGUUUGAAGCAUGACAGUAAGCAUGAUUUGUGUGUAUCACCUUAGUUUGUUUUAAUUAAUUAUGCAUGUGUGUAGCCUUGAUCUAGGAUAUGCAAUCGUGGUGUGUGUCUAUAAAUUUGCCUUUGCUUUUGUGGAUCUGAUCAUGUAAUCAUGCUUUGAAGUUUACCUUAUAUAUAUAGAUCCAUACAUCUAGUGUAUAAUUAUAGCUAUAUUCAUGUAAGGUUGUGUAUAUUUAUUUAUAGUGAAACCCGGGUAUACUCUGACUACUUGUGUUGAGAAAAUCCUUGCAUACGGGUGAUUUUCAGUUGUUAGUAUAUUGUGUAUUAAUUCCAAUCAUGCUUUUGAGCUAGAUGUAUUUAUUUAUUUAUUUGGAGAGUGAGUGUAGCACGGUGAAUGUAGGUACUGGAGUGUGAGCACACCUCUUUCAUUAAUUUUUUGGACCUUACUUUAGUUAACUUAUGGUAUCAAUAAUUCUGUAUGUUUGCAUUUGUGUAAAUCUGCCAUCUUGUAAAGCAUGCUAAAUUGUUGAUUGUAAUUAUGUUCUUAGUUGAUCUUUAAUUGUAUUUAUUGCUGGUAAGCAUGAGAUAUUGAUUUCUUUUUAGUAUUUGAUUUUCUGAAAUCUUCUAGACUCUAAUUGCGACUCUAAUUGCUUUACUAUGUUUAUUAUUUUGUAUCAUCAUGACAUCCAGAGUUAGCUUAUGCAAACACCAAUGUAAGCAUGCCUUGUUCAGUAGAAUUGUCUAAUUAUACGUGUGUGUGUGUAUACAUGUAUUUAAUUAUGCAUACUUAUCUGCAACCCUAGUAUGUCUCCUUUGUGCUAGCAAUUAAAUAUUAAAGCAUGGCUUCUUCGUAAACCAUUUAUAUUAGUUGUUAUUUACAUGUGUGUACAUAUUUUUGUGAUUGGUUGUUCUGAUUUUAGCUGUGGAAUCUUGAAAGUUUGUUGUAUAAAUUCAUGUUGGGUAAAGUUUGGGCUAUAGUUGUAAGUUAGGCAGAGCCCAAGAAUUAUUUCUAAGUGUAGUUAUUUUGUUAGAUUAGAUUAUUGUAGUGAGCCUUAGUUCGUGGGACUUGGUGAAUGCGACUUUAUAGCUCGGAGCCAGGAGAAGAUCAAGUCUAGGCUCGGGGUGUGUCUUAGAGUCGUAUUCUUGAUUUGUAGUAUCUUUAUGGUGAACUUAUUUGUGAGAGUAAGACUUGUAUCCGUCUGUAUAUUUUGGUCUAUAGACUGUUUGUAUGACUCUGUAUUUCUGUAGGGAUACUUAAGCUCAUACAUGUAUUAUUUCGGUUCCUAUCAUCUUAUUUGUAGUUCUGUAUUACUGUUCA